UACAUAUUGUAAGCCCUUUUUCCUUGUCCCAGAGGUUUGGGCCUGGCCCUUCGUAGGCCCAAGGGCAGCCCUUCUGAAGGACACCCUACCCUACCAGCCCCCUCACAUUCUCACUUACCUCUGUUUCAGAAAAACAGAUUGCCUUGGUCUCUCUUGCAGAAGCAGCUCUCUUCUUCCUCUCAAAUUCCUAGAAAAGUGCUCUGCUAGGGCACAACUCUCGUUCAGCUUCAAGCUAGCAAGUCCUUCUCACCUUCAACCCUCUGCUCUAGUCCUUGGAGCUGACGUACUUCCUAGUUGCGGGUCUUUUGCGUUUUAGCACCUAAACAAGAUGAGAGGGAGGUUCGAGAUGGAUCCGGGAGACGCAGCGGUGCGGCCUAGAUUUCCUUGCUUGGAUGUCUUAGGAGUAGUUCGUGGCCAUGAGGCCUUUUUGUAUUAGUUGCCUUGAGGGCAACCCUUUUGCAAGACUGUUAAACUUUUAGAAUUGUGUUUUCUUAUGGCAUGGUUGUAUGCCCAGGUUUUCCUCUAAGUACUCCUAUGGAUGACUGUAAUAGUUACUUUUCGUACGUUUCAUGUUAAUCUGAUUGGUUCUCGUUAUCAAAAUUUUGUGAUGCUUUAUUUGGUAGAGUAAUCUAUUAAAAUGUGACGUCACACAUAUACCAAGCAAAAACUUUGGCUGUAUGAUGAUAGUAUGAGGUUGAAGCCUAAGGGCAACAUGGUUAAAGCCUGGACAGCACUUUUAGAAAAGUGAGAGGAGCCAACUUUAAUAAUUUUUAAAUGACAGUU
Long non-coding RNA from Vigna unguiculata (cowpea), 783 nucleotides. RefSeq lists it as uncharacterized. The record is from RefSeq and is a predicted model, not a curated record. Lineage: Eukaryota; Viridiplantae; Streptophyta; Magnoliopsida; Fabales; Fabaceae.